UUGCUUCUUGCUGACGAGCGGCGGACGGGUGAGUAAUACUUAGGAAUCUACCUAGUAGUGGGGGAUAGCUCGGGGAAACUCGAAUUAAUACCGCAUACGACCUACGGGAGAAAGGGGGCAGUUUACUGCUCUCGCUAUUAGAUGAGCCUAAGUCGGAUUAGCUAGUUGGUGGGGUAAAGGCCUACCAAGGCGACGAUCUGUAGCUGGUCUGAGAGGAUGAUCAGCCACACCGGGACUGAGACACGGCCCGGACUCCUACGGGAGGCAGCAGUGGGGAAUAUUGGACAAUGGGGGCAACCCUGAUCCAGCCAUGCCGCGUGGUGUGAAAGAAAGGCUUUUUUGGGUUGUAAAAGCACUUUUAAGCCAGUGAAGGAAGACUCCCAUGGUUUAAUACCCCAUGGGACGAUGACAUUUAGCUGCAAGAAUAAGCACCGGGCUAACUCUGUGCCCAGCAGCCGCGGUAAUACAGAGGGUGCAAGCGUUAAUCGGAAUUACUGGGCGUAAAGCGAGCGUAGGUGGCUUAAUAAGUCAGAUGUGAAAGCCCCGGGCUUAACCUGGGAACGGCAUCUGAUACUGUUAGGCUAGAGUAGGUGAGAGGAAGGUAGAAUUCCAGGUGUAGCGGUGAAAUGCGUAGAGAUCUGGAGGAAUACCGAUGGCGAAGGCAGCCUUCUGGCAUCAUACUGACACUGAGGUUCGAAAGCGUGGGUAGCAAACAGGAUUAGAUACCCUGGGUAGUCCACCGCCGUAAACCGAUGUCUACUAGUCCGUUGGGGGAACUUUGAUUCCCUUAAGUGACCGCAGCUAACGCCAAUAAGUUAGACCCGCCUGGGGGAGUACCGGCCCGCAAGGGUUAAAAACUCCAAAUGAAUUGACGGGGGCCCGCACAAGCGGUGGAGCAUGUGGUUUAAUUCGAUGCAACGCGAAGAACCUUACCUGGUCUUGACAUAUCUAGAAUCCUGCAGAGAUGCGGGAGUGCCUUCGGGAAUUAGAAUACAGGUGCUGCAUGGCUGUCGUCAGCUCGUGUCGUGAGAUGUUGGGUUAAGUCCCGCAACGAGCGCAACCCUUGUCCUUAGUUACCAGCGGUUUGGCCGGGAACUCUAAGGAUACUGCCAGUGACAAACUGGAGGAAGGCGGGGACGACGUCAAGUCAUCAUGGCCCUUACGACCAGGGCUACACACGUGCUACAAUGGUAGGUACAGAGGGCAGCUACACAGCGAUGUGAUGCGAAUCUCAAAAAGCCUAUCGUAGUCCAGAUUGGAGUCUGCAACUCGACUCCAUGAAGUAGGAAUCGCUAGUAAUCGCGGAUCAGAAUGCCGCGGUGAAUACGUUCCCGGGCCUUGUACACACCGCCCGUCACACCAUGG
This 1365-nucleotide ribosomal RNA is filed under the name Psychrobacter sp. A12-3. Its description in RNAcentral is "bacterial SSU rRNA". It matches the Rfam family "Bacterial small subunit ribosomal RNA", at positions 78 to 1407 of the family's 1533-position model. Lineage: Bacteria; Pseudomonadati; Pseudomonadota; Gammaproteobacteria; Moraxellales; Moraxellaceae. The record is from RNAcentral.